RNAcentral lists this long non-coding RNA (1354 nucleotides) under Physcomitrium patens. RNAcentral describes it as "long non-coding RNA (PPAT_LNC012361)". Lineage: Eukaryota; Viridiplantae; Streptophyta; Bryopsida; Funariales; Funariaceae. The record is from RNAcentral.
UUAGGACCCGUUUGCAACGACUUUCUAUACGGCUCCAAACAUUGCAUGUCCCGUUACAUAAUCAGCGAUGCCAGGCAAGUGUGUCCUACCUUCUGGUGAAUACCUUUUGCAUGUGGUGAGAAGGAACAUUAUUAGAAAACAUUGAAUAUUUGAAAUCAUGGUCCAUGUGACUGGCAGAGGCGAUGAGGUGCAGCCUCAGUAAAUGGAUUAAUUCAGGUUGUACCUCAAAGUUGUUUCCCGGCCUCUGAGGGGCCCAGAGAUGUAAGUGCUUUUGUUUCUUGAGCUAGGUCAAGGAUUCAGUUUUUCCUUCUAUGAAGGGAUGCAAUGAGUGCAGUGGACCGAUUCUUUAUCUUUAUGCAAAAUAUCUUAGUAUUAAUGUUUUACUUUUGAACAUUUGAUAUUUGAUUUUAAAACCCAGUUGGGCUCCCAGGGAGUGUGAAGUGUGUGUAUAUAAAUUCCUUCAACGUGCUUAAUCUGAAUCGUUCACUGCACAGGCAAAUCUCUACAUUAACGGUACCAGCGAUUUGCAAUCGAAGUACUCCGGUGAAUUUCAAGUCACUUGAGGUUGCCGGUGGUAACCAGAAACUUAUUAGCAUCUGGCUGACCAUGGUUCCAGUAAACUCCAAUCUCUGUGAUCUCUGUGGCAAGUUUUUAUUAGUCCAUUUGCUUUAGUCUGUGCAUAAACCGUACCAAGCUUUUGUCGGUUGCCGCACUUUUGACUUCCUCCAGUCCCCGAUGGCACGCAGACCCAAAUGUGCACACAGAAAUUUAGUGAGUACUUUUGGUUGGCUCACAAAUCGAGAUUGUCUUCAAAACGGGCGCCCUUAUCAUUCCAAUGUCUCAACAGUCCUCGAGGCAGCAUCGUGAUGCAACCUUCUGCAGAUGAUCAGGGGGUUCGCUUCAUAUGUUCUGCACAGAACAUUCUGCUGGUGUGCCUCUUGUGAUUAGUUCAAAGAGUUCAACCAUCCAGUCUACAGUGAGUUGAGUAAUGCUUUGUGAUUAUCCCAUGCUCGUCACUGCGUGUAAGGAAUAAUAAUUCAAUUCCUCUGCUAUGAAUGCGUAUGAGUUAGUGUCGUGUAGAUUUGCUCCGGCAGCAACAAUUUCGGCAGCUGUCUGCCAUAUCUUCCCACCACGCUUGCCAAUAUUCAUGGCUCUGAGACUGCAUCUUCAGUCUAACUUCCCCCCAAGUUCUGCGCUUCCUGCGUCGUCAUUCAUUGCGAGGAGCUCCUGCCAGACUUACAACCCUGUCUGUUCAGCGUGGUGACCAUUCUGAGUAAAUGGUAACUUGGUCAAAUUAUGGAGACUGGUUGUUUACGUGAAGAAGAAAAUAAUCCUGUUGAUGUCAGAUUCACAC